UACAGGCUUAACACAUGCAAAGUCGCAGGGGUAACAUGAGGAAAAGCUUGCUUCCUUGAUGACGACUGGCGCACGGGUGAGUAACGCGUAUCCACCUUCCCAUAACUACGGGAUAACCCGUUGAAAGACGGCCCUAAUACCGUAUGAUAUCGUUUGCUGACAUCAAAAUAACGAUUAAGGUUUAGCGGUUAUGGAUGGGGAUGCGUCUGAUUAGCUUGUUGGCGGGUAACGGCCCACCAAGGCUACGAUCAGUAGGGGUUCUGAGAGGAAGGUCCCCCCACAUUGGAACUGAGACACGGUCCAAACUCCUACGGGAGGCAGCAGUGAGGAAUAUUGGUCAAUGGGCGAGAGCCUGAACCAGCCAAGUAGCGUGCAGGAAGACGGCCCUAUGGGUUGUAAACUGCUUUUAUGUGGGGAUAAAGUGCGCGACGUGUCGUGCAUUGCAGGUACCACAUGAAUAAGGACCGGCUAAUUCCGUGCCAGCAGCCGCGGUAAU
Molecule: ribosomal RNA, 496 nt
Filed under: uncultured Prevotella sp.
Lineage: Bacteria; Pseudomonadati; Bacteroidota; Bacteroidia; Bacteroidales; Prevotellaceae
Description: bacterial SSU rRNA
Rfam family: Bacterial small subunit ribosomal RNA
Source: RNAcentral